Molecule: ribosomal RNA, 508 nt
Filed under: uncultured bacterium
Lineage: Bacteria
Description: partial 16S ribosomal RNA
Rfam family: Bacterial small subunit ribosomal RNA
Source: RNAcentral
AUUGAACGCUGGCGGCAUGCCUUACACAUGCAAGUCGAACGGCAGCGGGGGAGAAGCUUGCUUUUCCUGCCGGCGAGUGGCGAACGGGUGAGUAAUACAUCGGAACGUGCCCUGUAGUGGGGGAUAACUAGUCGAAAGAUUAGCUAAUACCGCAUACGACCUGAGGGUGAAAGUGGGGGACCGCAAGGCCUCAUGCUAUAGGAGCGGCCGAUGUCUGAUUAGCUAGUUGGUGGGGUAAAGGCCUACCAAGGCGACGAUCAGUAGCUGGUCUGAGAGGACGAUCAGCCAGACUGGGCCUGAGACACGGCCCAGACUCCUACGGGAGGCAGCAGUGGGGAAUUUUGGACAAUGGGCGAAAGCCUGAUCCAGCAAUGCCGCGUGUGUGAAGAAGGCCUUCGGGUUGUAAAGCACUUUUGUCCGGAAAGAAAUGGCUCUGGUUAAUACCUGGGGUCGAUGACGGUACCGGAAGAAUAAGGACCGGCUAACUACGUGCCAGCCGCCGCUGUAA